Molecule: small RNA, 125 nt
Filed under: Marmota monax (woodchuck)
Lineage: Eukaryota; Metazoa; Chordata; Mammalia; Rodentia; Sciuridae
Source: RNAcentral
GCUGGGCGCGGUGACACCUGCCUGUAAUCCCAGCCGCUUGGGAGGCUGAGGCAGGAGGAUCACGAAUGCUAAGCCAGCCUCAUAAAUGGCGAGGCACUAAGCAAUUCAGUGAGACCCUGUCUCUA